GAAAACGAGGAUACGAUGGCGUAUGAAGAGCUACUAUGGAGGUUAAUAAAAUGACAUUCCUUGUUAAAAUGUAGAAUUCAUGCAGUAAAGCUUUGUAUAGGUCAACGUCUUUGAAUACGAACUAAUUGCUAUACCUAUUCAUAGGAAGAAUCACUGGAUAGAAGUGGUUAGAAUCAUACCAUUCCAUGUCAAAUCUCAUAUCAUUCUGCGGGGUCUAAGUUUUGAAAGUGUGAGUGCAUGACAAACUAUAUUAUAGAUUGUUGACAUUUUCGAGAAGUGUCUCAAUGUUAUCGAUUCGGCGGGAAACACACAUGACGCUGUGUGUGAUUGCAUUAUGUAAUUCUACUGUCAAGAGUUCCAAUUGCAUUAUCAAAUAUUGGCAUGUAAAUAUGUCGUAGACUUUGGUUGUGUGAUGAGCAUAGGAGGAAAUAUGGUACACUGAGUAACAAGGAUUUUUGGCAAAAGAAAUACCUAGUAUCAAAGGUGAGCGGAUGUGUGAGGCUAUAUAUAGAAAAGCCUCAACAGAUCGAUAGUGUCAAUUGCGGUGUUUGGACUUGUGUGGUACGUCUAGGGCUAUAAAUUGAUAAAAGCUAUAGGCCAUGUAUACUGCGAUUUACAGAACAUGAGAGACUACUCUCUUCUCGGGAAGUUGCAAAGACGCAAGAUGAAAAUAAAAACCGUACGACGUUGGCUUUCGUAUCGCCUUCUACACUCAGUCACCAGUUCAUGCGAGUAAGUUGUUGCCUACAGAUGUUGAUGUAUGUACUAAAUUUAGUUGAUUGGAGAGAGACUGUCCCGCUAGCUGUGUAAUUAAUUAAAUGUGCUAGGCGUAUUAUUAAUAUAUAAACAAUAGAGAUCUGUUUAUGGAAUUUCGUGGUAGUUUUUGCUAUCUAUAGACAGUAUCAGCUAGGUAAUAUUGCAAUGCAAAACCUUAUUGUAAUAAAUUGUAGA
Long non-coding RNA from Corticium candelabrum, 951 nucleotides. RefSeq lists it as uncharacterized. The record is from RefSeq and is a predicted model, not a curated record. The transcript is spliced from 3 exons. Lineage: Eukaryota; Metazoa; Porifera; Homoscleromorpha; Homosclerophorida; Plakinidae.